AGUAAAAGUCGUAACAAGGUUUCCGUAGGUGAACCUGCGGAAGGAUCAUUAACGAUUGCUAUAAAUGCAAAGACAAAAACUCACUGCAUUGAACGAUCAAACUCCUGACGAGUUCAGGAAAAAUGGUGCCUCUCACGGCCAUCGUGGUCGUUGCGUUCUGCGCUGCGAACGAUGUAAAACAAACAACCGAUGGCCCCUCAUACAGUAUAAUAUCUCUCGCCAUGGUAUACAGGCCUGGCAUCUGGUACGAGUCUCUCGCAGUCUCAAAACCAACCUUACAACUCUGAGCGGUGGAUCACUUGGCUUGUGGAUGCUAUGAAGACCAUAGCUAAGUGUGAGAAUGGCAGCGAGCCGUCGCUAUAUACGCUGUCCCCUUCUUAUCACAUGUCGAAUGCACAUUGCGCCCCACCCAGUGGUCAGGCUAAACAACCUGCAGACAAAAGCCUGCUAGUUGGAACAAAUGUGACGACCAACUACUCGUGAGUAGUCAGGCUAGACCCUAUGGUGGGGCACUCCUAGUCGAGUGUGGUGGAUCGGACUCACAUCUCUUGUUGCGCGUUCGCGCGUGAUGGAGUUUGAGUUUCUUUGUUGCUGGUGGCAUUUGGGUCGACAUCAGUCGUGCCCGUAAACAACUGCCUUGGCUCGUGCCUCUGUCCGUAUACCUCCUGGAAGGAGCGUACAUUGAAGGCCAUAGCUGGCGAUCACUCUUGCGGCCAGGGCACUACUUCGGUAGUGCGCACAGGUCCAAAAGGAAUUGAUAAUACGAGAAUCAGGUCUCAAUACUCUGGCCGGCUUCUUUCUGCACACAAUCUGAGGAGUGGUGAUCACAUGGUUAUCGAGAGAACUGCAUUAACCGUCUUUCUGGCAAGGCCCCGUCCGAGCCCCACCACUUUUGUAUGCACACACAUAUCAGACAGUGCCUUCCCUGACGAGAUCAGGAAGGAUGGUCUGAAAGAGUGUGUGUGUGUCAMAAGUAACAGAUUGGCCGGCAGUCUCGCAUCACAUCCGUAUGAGGAGUGGUGAUCAUGUGGUUAUUGAGGAAACCACAUAACCGUUGCUCUGGUAAACGCUCUUCUUGUUUCUCGUAUUAUUCGAGUAUGACACGAGCUUUACCACUUUUGUUCGCGCACAUGUGUGACUGGCUUUGCUGGCACACAUGAGGACAAGGAACGACCGAACGCCUGACGAGAUCAGGAAAAGGUGCGUCAAAAGUAAACGAGCGGCCGGGUCUCACAUCACGUCGCGGGUUGUACUUCUGUUUGUGUGACGUGGUGAUCACAUGGUUAUCGAGAGAACUGCAUAACCGCUUUUCUGGCAAGGCCCCGUCCGAGCCCCACCACUUUUGUAUGCACACACAUAUCAGACAGUGCCUUCCCUGACGAGAUCAGGAAGGAUGGUCUGAAAGAGUGUGUGUGUGUCAAAAGUAACAGAUUGGCCGGCAGUCUCGCAUCACAUCCGUAUGAGGAGUGGUGAUCAUGUGGUUAUUGAGGAAACCACAUAACCGUUGCUCUGGUAAACGCUCUUCUUGUUUCUCGUAUUAUUCGAGUAUGACACGAGCUUUACCACUUUUGUUCGCGCACAUGUGUGACUGGCUUUGCUGGCACACAUGAGGACAAGGAACGACCGAACGCCUGACGAGAUCAGGAAAAGGUGCGUCAGAAGUAAACGAGCGGCCGGGUCUCACACCACUGAACACGUUCACGUUGUACUUCCCGUGUGGAAAGGAUACCGACAAAUGAGAGAGACCUGAUUUCUUGUGUGUUUGUAAUUGCCACCACCUCGACUUAGGAGAGGUUACCCGCUGAACUUAAGCAUAUCAGUAAGCGGAGGAAAAGAAACCAAUCAGGGAUUCCCUUAGUAGGGGCGACCGAACAGGGAUGAGCCCAGCGCAGAACCUCCCGGGCCACCCGGCCUGCGGCGGAAUGUUGCGUUAAGGGAAAGGUCGUAGUCAAACCCCACAGCCACGCGAGCUCUAAGUAAGUCACGAAUUGGCUAUCCCAACUAACGGCGGGAAAAUCUCCACGGAGGGUGUAAGACCCGUGUGGGCGCGUGUAAAUGCUGUGUGGGCUCGGCCUCUUUUCCCUGAGAGUCGCGUUGCUUGAGCAUGCAGCGCUAAGCAGGUCGUAAACUCGAUCUAAGGCUAAAUAUGUCCACAAGACCGAUAGCGAACAAGUACCGUGAGGGAAAGUGAAAAGCACUCUGAAGAGAG
Molecule: ribosomal RNA, 2209 nt
Filed under: Niphargus gottscheeanensis
Lineage: Eukaryota; Metazoa; Arthropoda; Malacostraca; Amphipoda; Niphargidae
Description: eukaryotic LSU rRNA
Source: RNAcentral